Molecule: ribosomal RNA, 420 nt
Filed under: uncultured bacterium
Lineage: Bacteria
Description: bacterial SSU rRNA
Rfam family: Bacterial small subunit ribosomal RNA
Source: RNAcentral
AGGAAUAUUGGUCAAUGGAGGCAACUCUGAACCAGCCAUGCCGCGUGAAGGAUUAAGGCCCUCUGGGUUGUAAACUUCUUUUAUAUGGGAAGAAAUGUACUUUUUCUAAAGUGCUUGACGGUACCAUAGGAAUAAGCACCGGCUAACUCCGUGCCAGCAGCCGCGGUAAUACGGAGGGUGCAAGCGUUAUCCGGAUUUACUGGGUUUAAAGGGCGCGCAGGCGGGAUAAAAAGUCAGUGGUGAAAUCCUACAGCUUAACUGUAGAACUGCCUUUGAUACUUUUAUUCUUGAGUUCGGGAGAGAGAGACGGAAUUCCAGGUGUAGUGGUGGAAUACGUAGAUAUCUGGAAGAACACCAGUUGCGAAGGCGGUCUCUUGGUCCGACACUGACGCUGAGGCGCGAAAGCGUGGGGAGCAAACA